RNAcentral lists this ribosomal RNA (310 nucleotides) under uncultured bacterium. RNAcentral's name for it is "partial 16S ribosomal RNA". It matches the Rfam family "Bacterial small subunit ribosomal RNA", at positions 503 to 807 of the family's 1533-position model. The record is from RNAcentral.
AAGAGACAGCAGUAGCCGCGGUAAUACAGAGGGUGCGAGCGUUAAUCGGAUUUACUGGGCGUAAAGCGUGCGUAGGCGGCUUUUUAAGUCGGAUGUGAAAUCCCUGAGCUUAACUUAGGAAUUGCAUUCGAUACUGGGAAGCUAGAGUAUGGGAGAGGAUGGUAGAAUUCCAGGUGUAGCGGUGAAAUGCGUAGAGAUCUGGAGGAAUACCGAUGGCGAAGGCAGCCAUCUGGCCUAAUACUGACGCUGAGGUACGAAAGCAUGGGGAGCAAACAGGAUUAGAUACCCCAGUAGUCCCUGUCUCUUAUAC